AUUGAACGCUGGCGGCAUGCCUUACACAUGCAAGUCGAACGGCAGCAUGAUCUAGCUUGCUAGAUUGAUGGCGAGUGGCGAACGGGUGAGUAAUACAUCGGAACGUGCCCUGUAGUGGGGGAUAACUAGUCGAAAGAUUAGCUAAUACCGCAUACGACCUGAGGGUGAAAGUGGGGGACCGCAAGGCCUCAUGCUAUAGGAGCGGCCGAUGUCUGAUUAGCUAGUUGGUGAGGUAAAGGCUCACCAAGGCGACGAUCAGUAGCUGGUCUGAGAGGACGAUCAGCCACACUGGGACUGAGACACGGCCCAGACUCCUACGGGAGGCAGCAGUGGGGAAUUUUGGACAUUGGGCGAAAGCCUGAUCCAGCAAUGCCGCGUGUGUGAAGAAGGCCUUCGGGUUGUAAAGCACUUUUGUCCGGAAAGAAAUGGCUCUGGUUAAUACCUGGGGUCGAUGACGGUACCGGAAGAAUAAGGACCGGCUAACUACGU
This 489-nucleotide ribosomal RNA is filed under the name uncultured bacterium. Its description in RNAcentral is "partial 16S ribosomal RNA". It matches the Rfam family "Bacterial small subunit ribosomal RNA", at positions 30 to 506 of the family's 1533-position model. The record is from RNAcentral.